Molecule: transfer RNA, 73 nt
Filed under: Ixodes scapularis (black-legged tick)
Lineage: Eukaryota; Metazoa; Arthropoda; Arachnida; Ixodida; Ixodidae
Description: tRNA-Pro
Rfam family: tRNA
About the family: Transfer RNA (tRNA) molecules are approximately 80 nucleotides in length. Their secondary structure includes four short double-helical elements and three loops (D, anti-codon, and T loops).
Source: RNAcentral
GCAGUCAUGGCCGAGUGGUUAAGGCGAUUGGGGUUGGGGUCUCCCCGCACAGGUUAGAAUCCUGUCGACUGCG